Non-coding RNA from Cryptomeria japonica (Japanese cedar), 83 nucleotides. NCBI's taxonomy places the organism in Eukaryota, Viridiplantae, Streptophyta, Pinopsida, Cupressales, Cupressaceae. The record is from the annotation of a RefSeq genome assembly.
GGCAACAUAGCACAGUGGAUUAGCGCUUUUGACUUUGGAUCAAAAGGUCGUGGGUUCAAAUCCCACUAUGUUUGAUUGAUGCC